RNAcentral lists this ribosomal RNA (497 nucleotides) under uncultured bacterium. Its description in RNAcentral is "partial 16S ribosomal RNA". It matches the Rfam family "Bacterial small subunit ribosomal RNA", at positions 28 to 507 of the family's 1533-position model. The record is from RNAcentral.
GAUGAACGCUGGCGGCGUGCCUAAUACAUGCAAGUCGAGCGAACAGACGAGGAGCUUGCUCCUCUGACGUUAGCGGCGGACGGGUGAGUAACACGUGGAUAACCUACCUAUAAGACUGGGAUAACUUCGGGAAACCGGAGCUAAUACCGGAUAAUAUAUUGAACCGCAUGGUUCAAUAGUGAAAGACGGUUUUGCUGUCACUUAUAGAUGGAUCCGCGCCGCAUUAGCUAGUUGGUAAGGUAACGGCUUACCAAGGCGACGAUGCGUAGCCGACCUGAGAGGAUGAUCAGCCACACUGGAACUGAGACACGGUCCAGACUCCUACGGGAGGCAGCAGUAGGGAAUCUUCGGCAAUGGGCGAAAGCCUGACGGAGCCACGCCGCGUGAGUGAUGAAGGUCUUCGGAUCGUAAAGCUCUGUUAUUAGGGAAGAACAAAUGUGUAAGUACCUAUGCACGUCUUGACGGUACCUAAUCAGAAAGCCACGGCUAACUACGUG